Molecule: ribosomal RNA, 253 nt
Filed under: uncultured bacterium
Lineage: Bacteria
Description: partial 16S ribosomal RNA
Rfam family: Bacterial small subunit ribosomal RNA
Source: RNAcentral
UACGUAGGGUGCGAGCGUUAAUCGGAAUUACUGGGCGUAAAGCGUGCGCAGGCGGUGAUGUAAGACCGAUGUGAAAUCCCCGGGCUUAACCUGGGAACUGCAUUGGUGACUGCAUCGCUCGAGUAUGGCAGAGGGGGUUAGAAUUCCACGUGUAGCAGUGAAAUGCGUAGAGAUGUGGAGGAAUACCGAUGGCGAAGGCAGCCCCCUGGGUCAAUACUGACGCUCAUGCACGAAAGCGUGGGGAGCAAACAGG